GAUGAAGAACGUAGCGAAAUGCGAUAAGUAAUGUGAAUUGCAGAAUUCAGUGAAUCAUCGAAUCUUUGAACGCACAUUGCGCCCGGCAGUACUCUGCCGGGCAUGCCUGUUCGAGCGUCAUUUCAACCCUCAAGCCCUGCUUGGUGUUGGGGUCCCACGGCCGCCGUGGGCCCUGAAAGGAAGUGGCGGGCUCGCUACAACUCCGAGCGUAGUAAUUCAUUAUCUCGCUUAGGGCGUUGGGCGGCGCUCCUGCCGUUAAAGAACCAUCUUUAACUCAAGGUUGACCUCGGAUCAGGUAGGAGUACCCGCUGAACUUAAGCAUAUCAAUAAGCGGAGGA
Molecule: unclassified non-coding RNA, 338 nt
Filed under: soil metagenome
Description: partial contains 5.8S ribosomal RNA, internal transcribed spacer 2, and large subunit ribosomal RNA
Rfam family: 5.8S ribosomal RNA (bases 1-120)
Source: RNAcentral